CUGCAUUCUAAUAUCAAGAAUACCUUUUAUUCUUUCGCUCUCUACAAUCAUCGGUCACACAAUUUUUACGCGGAAAUAAAUUUCUAACUUUAAUAAAGCUUUAUCACUUCGUUUUCAAGGAUUGAAUAUGCAUUGAUAUACGUCGCCACCUUUGUCUAAAGUAUUGGAACCUAACACGACAGCUAUGGACGUAUCGUUGAAACUAAAACGAUAGGUUGUAGGUAUAAGCAGUGAAAGAGAAAGCUAUUAGGUGUGGUUUAAAAAGAUGUUGGAUGAGUUGUGAAAUGGAUAAGGAGUAAGGAUGUUUUAACGCAAUGGAAUAUGAGAACAUGAGAAUAAAGAGAACAUCAAAGACGUACAACUUGAACUUCCUUUAUUUAAAUGAAUCAGAG
Molecule: long non-coding RNA, 392 nt
Organism: Bombus huntii
Lineage: Eukaryota; Metazoa; Arthropoda; Insecta; Hymenoptera; Apidae
Exons: 3
Source: RefSeq, a predicted model, not a curated record